GUUUAUAUAAUAUAUAAAAAUAUUAGUAUAUUUAACUUCCAAUUAAAAUGACAUUUAAUAUGUAUAAAUA
Molecule: transfer RNA, 70 nt
Filed under: Dendrocerus sp. ZJUH_2016009
Lineage: Eukaryota; Metazoa; Arthropoda; Insecta; Hymenoptera; Megaspilidae
Description: tRNA-Gly
Source: RNAcentral